Molecule: ribosomal RNA, 1436 nt
Filed under: uncultured organism
Description: SSU rRNA
Rfam family: Bacterial small subunit ribosomal RNA
Source: RNAcentral
GCUAGCUACAGGCUUAACACAUGCAAGUCGAGGGGCAGCAUGGUCUUAGCUUGCUAAGGCCGAUGGCGACCGGCGCACGGGUGAGUAACACGUAUCCAACCUGCCGUCUACUCUUGGACAGCCUUCUGAAAGGAAGAUUAAUACAAGAUGGCAUCAUGAGUCCGCAUGUUCACAUGAUUAAAGGUAUUCCGGUAGACGAUGGGGAUGCGUUCCAUUAGAUAGUAGGCGGGGUAACGGCCCACCUAGUCUUCGAUGGAUAGGGGUUCUGAGAGGAAGGUCCCCACAUUGGAACUGAGACACGGUCCAAACUCCUACGGGAGGCAGCAGUGAGGAAUAUUGGUCAAUGGGCGAGAGCCUGAACCAGCCAAGUAGCGUGAAGGAUGACUGCCCUAUGGGUUGUAAACUUCUUUUAUAAAGGAAUAAAGUCGGGUAUGGAUACCCGUUUGCAUGUACUUUAUGAAUAAGGAUCGGCUAACUCCGUGCCAGCAGCCGCGGUAAUACGGAGGAUCCGAGCGUUAUCCGGAUUUAUUGGGUUUAAAGGGAGCGUAGAUGGAUGUUUAAGUCAGUUGUGAAAGUUUGCGGCUCAACCGUAAAAUUGCAGUUGAUACUGGAUAUCUUGAGUGCAGUUGAGGCAGGCGGAAUUCGUGGUGUAGCGGUGAAAUGCUUAGAUAUCACGAAGAACUCCGAUUGCGAAGGCAGCCUGCUAAGCUGCAACUGACAUUGAGGCUCGAAAGUGUGGGUAUCAAACAGGAUUAGAUACCCUGGUAGUCCACACGGUAAACGAUGAAUACUCGCUGUUUGCGAUAUACUGCAAGCGGCCAAGCGAAAGCGUUAAGUAUUCCACCUGGGGAGUACGCCGGCAACGGUGAAACUCAAAGGAAUUGACGGGGGCCCGCACAAGCGGAGGAACAUGUGGUUUAAUUCGAUGAUACGCGAGGAACCUUACCCGGGCUUAAAUUGCAGAUGAAUUACGGUGAAAGCCGUAAGCCGCAAGGCAUCUGUGAAGGUGCUGCAUGGUUGUCGUCAGCUCGUGCCGUGAGGUGUCGGCUUAAGUGCCAUAACGAGCGCAACCCUUGUUGUCAGUUACUAACAGGUUCCGCUGAGGACUCUGACAAGACUGCCAUCGUAAGAUGUGAGGAAGGUGGGGAUGACGUCAAAUCAGCACGGCCCUUACGUCCGGGGCUACACACGUGUUACAAUGGGGGGUACAGAGGGCCGCUACCACGCGAGUGGAUGCCAAUCCCCAAAACCUCUCUCAGUUCGGACUGGAGUCUGCAACCCGACUCCACGAAGCUGGAUUCGCUAGUAAUCGCGCAUCAGCCACGGCGCGGUGAAUACGUUCCCGGGCCUUGUACACACCGCCCGUCAAGCCAUGGGAGCCGGGGGUACCUGAAGUGCGUAACCGCGAGGAGCGCCCUAGGGUAAAACUGGUGACU